Molecule: ribosomal RNA, 254 nt
Filed under: uncultured bacterium
Lineage: Bacteria
Description: partial 16S ribosomal RNA
Rfam family: Bacterial small subunit ribosomal RNA
Source: RNAcentral
UACGGGGGGAGCAAGCGUUGUUCGGAUUUACUGGGCGUAAAGGGCGCGUAGGCGGCCACUGCAAGUCAGUUGUGAAAUCUCCGGGCUUAACCCGGAAAGGUCGACUGAUACUGCAGGGCUAGAGUGCAGAAGGGGCAACUGGAAUUCUCGGUGUAGCGGUGAAAUGCGUAGAUAUCGAGAGGAACACCUGCGGCGAAGGCGGGUUGCUGGGCUGACACUGACGCUGAGGCGCGAAAGCCAGGGGAGCGAACGGG